UCUUUGACGUCGGGACUGGAGAU
This 23-nucleotide small RNA is filed under the name Caenorhabditis elegans. RNAcentral's name for it is "Unclassified non-coding RNA C32E12.6". The record is from RNAcentral. Lineage: Eukaryota; Metazoa; Nematoda; Chromadorea; Rhabditida; Rhabditidae.